UUUCCUGAGCUAUUCAGAGGUGUGUCCAGAGAAGCUUGCUUGAUUUUUUCUGCUGAUGUCAUUACAAGCAGAACAACCAGAGAAUUCACCGAAUCAAACCGUGGUCUUUAGCAUUUGAGACAUUUUAAGAGAUACUGUUCAAUCUCUUUUCCACUAGAGAGGGAAAGAGAGUGAACCAGCUCCCGCUUAUUGGAAAAAGAAGAGUUUAAGGGAAUAGGGUGUAUCGGCACCUUUAAGAAAAAAUUUAAAAUGGGAGGAGUCCUGCUUCACAACUCCCCCUAACUAGGUCAAGGUCAGGGUGGUACAAGAGAGAGAUUAAAAGGAGCAGUGGUUCUAUGGUCAUUACAGG
This is a long non-coding RNA of Ornithorhynchus anatinus (platypus), 349 nucleotides long. RefSeq lists it as uncharacterized. NCBI's taxonomy places the organism in Eukaryota, Metazoa, Chordata, Mammalia, Monotremata, Ornithorhynchidae. The transcript has 3 exons. The record is from RefSeq and is a predicted model, not a curated record.